RNAcentral lists this transfer RNA (72 nucleotides) under Zea mays. RNAcentral's name for it is "tRNA-Lys (TTT) (tRNA-Lys-TTT-5-1)". It matches the Rfam family "tRNA". Rfam says of the family: Transfer RNA (tRNA) molecules are approximately 80 nucleotides in length. Lineage: Eukaryota; Viridiplantae; Streptophyta; Magnoliopsida; Poales; Poaceae. The record is from Rfam by way of RNAcentral.
GCCGUCCUAGCUCAGCGGUAGAGCGCGUGGCUUUUAACCACGUGGUCGUGGGUUCGACCCCCACGGACGGCG